This 509-nucleotide ribosomal RNA is filed under the name uncultured bacterium. RNAcentral's name for it is "partial 16S ribosomal RNA". It matches the Rfam family "Bacterial small subunit ribosomal RNA", at positions 37 to 537 of the family's 1533-position model. The record is from RNAcentral.
GACGAACGCUGGCGGCGUGCUUAACACAUGCAAGUCGAACGGAAAGGCCCUGCUUUUGUGGGGUGCUCGAGUGGCGAACGGGUGAGUAACACGUGAGUAACCUGCCCUUGACUUUGGGAUAACUUCAGGAAACUGGGGCUAAUACCGGAUAGGAGCUCCUGCUGCAUGGUGGGGGUUGGAAAGUUUCGGCGGUUGGGGAUGGACUCGCGGCUUAUCAGCUUGUUGGUGGGGUAGUGGCUUACCAAGGCUUUGACGGGUAGCCGGCCUGAGAGGGUGACCGGGCCGAGGGGUGCGGGGGUGCGGCGCAGGCUCGGACGGGAGGAGGCAGUGGGGAAGAUUGGACAGGGGGGGAAAGCCGGGGGAGGCAAGGCGGGGGGCGGGAUGACGGCGUGGGGGUUGUAAGCCGCUUGCGCGUGUAACGAGGCGGGGGGGAGGGAAGUGGGAAAAGAAGCACCGGGAAAAGACGGGCCAGCAGCCGCGGUAAGAGUCGGAGAACAACACGUCUGAGC